RNAcentral lists this ribosomal RNA (253 nucleotides) under uncultured bacterium. RNAcentral describes it as "partial 16S ribosomal RNA". It matches the Rfam family "Bacterial small subunit ribosomal RNA", at positions 524 to 776 of the family's 1533-position model. The record is from RNAcentral.
UACGUAGGUGGCAAGCGUUGUCCGGAAUUAUUGGGCGUAAAGCGCGCGCAGGCGGUCCCUUAAGCCUGAUGUGAAAGCCCACGGCUCAACCGUGGAGGGUCAUUGGAAACUGGGGGACUUGAGUGCAGAAGAGGAAAGUGGAAUUCCAUGUGUAGCGGUGAAAUGCGUAGAGAUGUGGAGGAACACCAGUGGCGAAGGCGACUUUCUGGUCUGUAACUGACGCUGAGGCGCGAAAGCGUGGGGAGCGAACAGG